RNAcentral lists this ribosomal RNA (1100 nucleotides) under uncultured organism. RNAcentral describes it as "bacterial SSU rRNA". It matches the Rfam family "Bacterial small subunit ribosomal RNA", at positions 85 to 1187 of the family's 1533-position model. The record is from RNAcentral.
AUGCUGACGACCGGCGCACGGGUGAGUAACGCGUAUGCAACCUGCCCCUGACAGGAGGAUAGCCCUAGGAAACUGGGAUUAAUACUCCAUGUAUUAUCAAGUAGGCAUCUAUUACAUAAUAAAGCUACGGCGGUCAGGGAUGGGCAUGCGUGCCAUUAGUUAGUUGGUGAGGUAACGGCUCACCAAUGCAUCGAUGGCUAGGGGUUCUGAGAGGAUGAUCCCCCACACUGGUACUGAGACACGGACCAGACUCCUACGGGAGGCAGCAGUGAGGAAUAUUGGUCAAUGGGCGCAAGCCUGAACCAGCCAUGCCGCGUGCAGGAUGACUGUUCUAUGAAUUGUAAACUGCUUUUCUGCGGGAAGAAAUGUACCUACGUGUAGGUAUUUGCCGGUACUGCAGGAAUAAGCAUCGGCUAACUCCGUGCCAGCAGCCGCGGUAAUACGGAGGAUGCAAGCGUUAUCCGGAUUCAUUGGGUUUAAAGGGUGCGCAGGCGGUGUAUUAAGUCAGUGGUGAAAUGCUGCGGCUCAACCGUAGACUUGCCAUUGAUACUGGUACACUUGAAUGUAGUUGAGGUAGGCGGAAUGUGUAAUGUAGCGGUGAAAUGCUUAGAUAUUACACAGAACACCGAUUGCGAAGGCAGCUUACUAAACUAUGAUUGACGCUGAGGCACGAAAGCGUGGGGAGCGAACAGGAUUAGAUACCCUGGUAGUCCACGCUGUAAACUAUGAUCACUGGUUGUUGGCAAUAUACCGUCAGCGACUGAGCGAAAGCAUUAAGUGAUCCACCUGGGGAGUACGUCGGCAACGAUGAAACUCAAAGGAAUUGACGGGGGCCCGCACAAGCGGAGGAACAUGUGGUUUAAUUCGAUGGUACGCGAGGAACCUUACCUGGGCUUAAAUGUAGAGUGCAUAGAGUGGAAACAUUCUUUUCCUUCGGGACUCUUUACAAGGUGCUGCAUGGUUGUCGUCAGCUCGUGCCGUGAGGUGUCGGGUUAAGUCCCAUAACGAGCGCAACCCUUGUCGUUAGUUGCUAGCAGGUCAAGCUGAGGACUCUAACGAGACUGCCGGUGUAAACCGAGAGGAAGGUGGGGAUGACGUCA